GACGAACGCUGGCGGCGUGCCUCAUACAUGCAAGUCGAGCGAGGUGUAGCAAUACACCUAGCGGCGGACGGGUGAGUAACACGUGGGCAACCUGCCUCAAAGACAGGGAUAACGGGUCGAAAGAUGCGCUAAUACCUGGUAAGCUCACAAGGCUGCAUGGCCUGGUGAGAAAAGGAGCAAUCCGCUUUGAGAUGGGCCCGCGUCCCAUUAGCUAGUUGGUAGGGUAACGGCCUACCAAGGCGACGAUGGGUAGCCGGCCUGAGAGGGUGAUCGGCCACACUGGAACUGAGAGACGGUCCAGACUCCUACGGGAGGCAGCAGUAGGGAAUCUUCCGCAAUGGGCGAAAGCCUGACGGAGCAACGCCGCGUGAGUGAAGAAGGUCUUCGGAUCGUAAAGCUCUGUCUUCGGUGACGAAAGAGACGGUAACCGAGGAGGAAGCCACGGCAAACUACGUGCCAGCAGCCGCGGUAAUACGUAGGUGGCGAGCGUUGUCCGGAAUUACUGGGCGUAAAGCGCGCGUAGACGGCUUAGUAAGUCAGAUGUGAAAGACUCGGGCUCAACCUGGGGGCGGCAUCUGAGACUGUUGAGCUUGAGUGCAGGAGAGGCAAGUGGAAUUCCCAGUGUAGCAGUGAAAUGCGUAGAGAUUGGGAGGAACACCAGUGGCGAAGGCGACUUGCUGGACUGUAACUGACGUUGAGGCGCGAAAGCUAGGGGAGCAAACGGGAUUAGAUACCCCGGUAGUCCUAGCCGUAAACGAUGGGUACUAGGUGUGGGAGGUAUCGACCCCUUCCGUGCCGGAGUGAACGCAAUAAGUACCCCGCCUGGGGAGUACGGCCGCAAGGUU
This 845-nucleotide ribosomal RNA is filed under the name uncultured bacterium. RNAcentral's name for it is "bacterial SSU rRNA". It matches the Rfam family "Bacterial small subunit ribosomal RNA", at positions 28 to 895 of the family's 1533-position model. The record is from RNAcentral.